AAAGACCUUAUGCUUUUGGAGCGGCCGAUGUCUGAUUAGCUAGUUGGUAGGGUAAUGGCUUACCAAGGCGACGAUCAGUAGCUGGUCUGAGAGGACGACCAGCCACACUGGGACUGAGACACGGCCCAGACUCCUACGGGAGGCAGCAGUGGGGAAUUUUGGACAAUGGGCGCAAGCCUGAUCCAGCAAUGCCGCGUGAGUGAAGAAGGCCUUCGGGUUGUAAAGCUCUUUCAGUCGAGAAGAAAAAAUUGUGACUAAUACUCACAAUUCAUGACGGUAUCGACAGAAGAAGCACCGGCUAACUACGUGCCAGCAGCCGCGGUAAUACGUAGGGUGCAAGCGUUAAUCGGAAUUACUGGGCGUAAAGGGUGCGCAGGCGGUUCUGUAAGUCAGAUGUGAAAUCCCCGGGCUUAACCUGGGAAUU
This 424-nucleotide ribosomal RNA is filed under the name uncultured beta proteobacterium. RNAcentral describes it as "bacterial SSU rRNA". It matches the Rfam family "Bacterial small subunit ribosomal RNA", at positions 202 to 622 of the family's 1533-position model. The record is from RNAcentral. Lineage: Bacteria; Pseudomonadati; Pseudomonadota; Betaproteobacteria.